This 485-nucleotide ribosomal RNA is filed under the name uncultured bacterium. Its description in RNAcentral is "partial 16S ribosomal RNA". It matches the Rfam family "Bacterial small subunit ribosomal RNA", at positions 30 to 509 of the family's 1533-position model. The record is from RNAcentral.
AUUGAACGCUGGCGGCAGGCCUAACACAUGCCAGUCGAGCGGAUGAAGGGAGCUUGCUCCUGGAUUCAGCGGCGGACGGGUGAGUAAUGCCUAGGAAUCUGCCUGGUAGUGGGGGAUAACGUCCGGAAACGGGCGCUAAUACCGCAUACGUCCUGAGGGAGAAAGUGGGGGAUCUUCGGACCUCACGCUAUCAGAUGAGCCUAGGUCGGAUUAGCUAGUUGGUGGGGUAAAGGCCUACCAAGGCGACGAUCCGUAACUGGUCUGAGAGGAUGAUCAGUCAACAUGGGAAUGAGAACCCGGUCCAGCCUCCAACGGGAGGCGGAGGGGGGGAUUUUUGGAAAAGGGGCAAAGCCCUAACCCAGCCAUGCCGGGGGGGUAAAGAGGGUUUUCGAAUUUUAAACCAUUUUAAGUGGGGAGGAAGGACAGAAAUUAAAUACCUUCUUGUUUUAAGUUUCCCAAAAAAAAAGACCCCGCCAACCCCCGCC